GAUGAAGAACGUAGCGAAAUGCGAUAAGUAAUGUGAAUUGCAGAAUCCAGUGAAUCAUCGAAUCUUUGAACGCACAUUGCGCCCUUUGGUAUUCCAAAGGGCAUGCCUGUUCGAGCGUCAUUUGUACCCUCAAGCUUUGCUUGGUGUUGGGCGUCUUGUCUCUAGCUUUGCUGGAGACUCGCCUUAAAGUAAUUGGCAGCCGGCCUACUGGUUUCGGAGCGCAGCACAAGUCGCACUCUCUAUCAGCAAAGGUCUAGCAUCCAUUAAGCCUUUUUUUCAACUUUUGACCUCGGAUCAGGUAGGGAUACCCGCUGAACUUAAGCAUAUCAAUAAGCGGAGGA
RNAcentral lists this unclassified non-coding RNA (341 nucleotides) under soil metagenome. RNAcentral's name for it is "partial contains 5.8S ribosomal RNA, internal transcribed spacer 2, and large subunit ribosomal RNA". The stretch from base 1 to 120 matches the Rfam family "5.8S ribosomal RNA", at positions 35 to 154 of the family's 154-position model. The record is from RNAcentral.